Molecule: ribosomal RNA, 922 nt
Filed under: uncultured bacterium
Lineage: Bacteria
Description: bacterial SSU rRNA
Rfam family: Bacterial small subunit ribosomal RNA
Source: RNAcentral
AGAGUUUGAUCCUGGCUCAGGACGAACGCUGGCGGCGCGCUUAACACAUGCAAGUCGAGCGAGAACCAGCCCUUCGGGGCUGGGGAAAGCGGCGAACGGGUGAGUAACACGUGGGUAAUCUGCCCUCGGCACUGGGAUAGCCCGGGGAAACCCGGAUUAAUACCGGAUGGCCUCUCGAGCUCUUUGGCUCGUGAGAAAAGGUAGCUUCGGCCUCCGGCCGAGGAGGAGCCCGCGGCGGAUUAGCUUGUUGGUGGGGUAAAGGCUCACCAAGGCGACGAUCCGUAGCUGGUCUGAGAGGACGAUCAGCCACACUGGGACUGAGACACGGCCCAGACUCCUACGGGAGGCAGCAGUGGGGAAUCUUGCCCAAUGGGCGAAAGCCUGAGGCAGCGACGCCGCGUGCGGGAAGAAGGCCUUCGGGUUGUAAACCGCUUUCAGGAGGGACGAAGCCACUCGGGUUAAUAGCCCAGAGGGUGACGGUACCUCCAGAAGAAGCCCCGGCCAACUACGUGCCAGCAGCCGCGGUAAUACGUAGGGGGCGAGCGUUGUCCGGAUUUAUUGGGCGUAAAGAGCGUGUAGGCGGCCAGGUAGGUCCGCUGUGAAAACUCGAGGCUCAACCUCGAGAUGUCGGUGGAAACCAUCUGGCUAGAGUCCGGAAGAGGAGAGUGGAAUUCCCGGUGUAGCGGUGAAAUGCGCAGAUAUCGGGAAGAAUAUCCGUGGCGAAGGCGGCUCUCUGGUACGGCACUGACGCUGAGACGCGAAAGCGUGGGGAGCGAACAGGAUUAGAUACCCUGGUAGUCCACGCCGUAAACGAUGGGUGCUAGGUGUGGGCGGUGUCGACUCCGUCCGUGCCGCAGCUAACGCAUUAAGCACCCCGCCUGGGGAGUACGGCCGCAAGGCUAAAACUCAAAGGAAUUGACGG